UCACGAAAGUGGAUUGUACUAGAAGUCUGCAGGCUGACCCGCAAGGGAGGCAGCGGCCCAAGGCAUGAUCCAUGAUUGGGGUG
Molecule: ribosomal RNA, 83 nt
Filed under: uncultured bacterium
Lineage: Bacteria
Description: partial 16S ribosomal RNA
Source: RNAcentral